AUUCCAGCUCCAGUAGCGUAUAUUAAUGUUGUUGCAGUUAAAAAGCUCGUAGUUGGAUUUCUGACUUGACGCGCCUGGCCCGCCUUGCAUUUCGCGGGUGAGUGCCGGAGCGCGUCGGUCAUCCUUCUAGAGAACGGCGCUACCCUUCACUGGGUCGGCGUCGCAAUCUAGAUCUUUUACUUUGAAAAAAUUAGAGUGUUCAAGGCAGGCUCGCGCUGUGAAUACAUUAGCAUGGAAUAAUAAUCUAGGACUUUGUUCCUAUUUUGUUGGUUUCUAGGAAUUAAGUAAUGAUUGAUAGGGAUAGUUGGGGGUGCUAGUAUUCAGCGGCCAGAGGUGAAAUUCUUGGAUUCGCUGAAGACUAACUUAUGCGAAAGCAUUCACCAAGGAUGUCUUCAUUA
This 398-nucleotide ribosomal RNA is filed under the name Imbricatea sp. RNAcentral's name for it is "partial small subunit ribosomal RNA". It matches the Rfam family "Eukaryotic small subunit ribosomal RNA", at positions 582 to 975 of the family's 1831-position model. The record is from RNAcentral. Lineage: Eukaryota; Cercozoa; Imbricatea.